RNAcentral lists this ribosomal RNA (468 nucleotides) under uncultured bacterium. RNAcentral describes it as "partial 16S ribosomal RNA". It matches the Rfam family "Bacterial small subunit ribosomal RNA", at positions 28 to 507 of the family's 1533-position model. The record is from RNAcentral.
GACGAACGCUGGCGGCGUGCUUAACACAUGCAAGUCGAACGGAAAGGCCCUACUUUUCUGGGGUACACGAGUGGCGAACGGGUGAGUAACACGUGGGUGACCUGCCCUUCACUUUGGGAUAACUCCGGGAAACUGGGGCUAAUACCGGAUAGGAGCUCCUCCUGAGUGGUUGGUGGUGGGAUGUUUCGGCGGUGGGGGAUGGACUCGCGGCUUAUCAGCUUGUUGGUGGGGUAGUGGCUUACCAAGGCUGUGACGGGUAGCCGGCCUGAGAGGGUGAACGGCCACAUUGGGACUGAGAUACGGCCCAGACUCCUACGGGAGGCAGCAGUGGGGAAUAUUGCACAAUGGGCGGAAGCCUGAUGCAGCAACGCCGCGUGCGGGAUGACGGCCUUCGGGUUGUAAACUGCUUUCGCCUGUGACGAAGGGUGAGUGACGGUAAUGGGAGAAGAAGCACCGGCUAACUACGUG